Molecule: ribosomal RNA, 945 nt
Filed under: uncultured bacterium
Lineage: Bacteria
Description: bacterial SSU rRNA
Rfam family: Bacterial small subunit ribosomal RNA
Source: RNAcentral
UGCAAGCGUUACCCGGAAUCAUUGGGCGUAAAGCGUCCGCAGGCGGUUAUUUAAGUUAAGUAUUAAAUCUUGAAGCCCAACUUCAAGGCUGUACUUAAAACUGGAUAACUAGAGACUUCCAGAGGCAUGUGGAAUUCUGUGUGUAGGGGUAAAAUCCGUAGAUACACAGAGGAACACCAAAAGCGAAGGCAGCAUGCUGGGGAAGUUCUGACGCUCAUGGACGAAAGCGUGGGGAGCGAACGGGAUUAGAUACCCCGGUAGUCCACGCCGUAAACUAUGGAUACUAGGUGUUGGGAGGCUCGACCCUCUCAGUGCCGACGCUAACGCAUUAAGUAUCCCGCCUGGGGAGUACGGUCGCAAGAUUAAAACUCAAAGGAAUAGACGGGGACCCACACAAGCGGUGGAGCACCUGGCUUAAUUCGAUAAUGAGCGAGGAACCUUACCUAGGUUUGACAUCCUGAGAAUUUUCUGGAAACAGAAAAGUGCCUUAUGGAACUCAGUGACAGGUGCUGCAUGGUUGUCGUCAGCUCGUGCCUUGAGGUGUUCGGUUAAGUCCGUAAACGAGCGCAACCCAUGUCCUGUGUUGUAUUUUUCACAGGAGACUGCCGAUUCAAAGUCGGAGGAAGGUAUGGAUGACGUCAAAUCAGCAUGGCCCUUAUACCUAGGGCUGCACAGGUGCUACAAUGGCUGGUACAAUGGGUAGCAAUCUCGCAAGAGGGAGCCAAUCCUCAAAACCAGUCUAAGUUCGAAUUGAUGGCUGCAACUCGCCAUCAUGAAGUUGGAAUCGCUAGUAACCGCGGAUCAGCAAUGGCGCGGUGAAUAUGUUCCUGGGUCUUGUACUCACCGCCCGUCACACUAUGAAAGGUGGGGGCACCCGAAGUACCCUUAGCUUCUAGCGGGGUCCUAAGGUGAAACCACUGAUUGGAGUGAAGUCGUAACAAGGUA